AUUAACGCUGGCGGCGUGCAUAACACAUGCAAGUCGAACGAUGAAACUUAACUGAUUUCUUCGGAAUGAUUUUAAGUGGAUUAGUGGCGGACGGGUGGGUAACGCGUGAGUAACCUGCCUUGGAGAAGGGGAUAGCCUUUGGAAACGAAGAAUAAUACCCUAUGAUAUGAUAAUAUCUCAUGAUAUUAUCAUCAAAGAUUUAUCGCUCUAAGAUGGACUUGCGUCUGAUUAGUUAGUUGGUGAGGUAACAGCUCACCAAGGCAGCGAUCAGUAGCCGGCUUGAGAGAGUGUACGGCCACAUUGGGACUGAGACACGGCCCAGACUCCUACGGGAGGCAGCAGUGGGGAAUUUUGCACAAUGGGGGAAACCCUGAUGCAGCGACGCCGCGUGAUUUAGAAGGCCUUCGGGUUGUAAAAAUCUUUUGUAUGGGAAGAAAAUGACAGUACCAUACGAAUAAGGACCGGCUAAUUACGUG
This 476-nucleotide ribosomal RNA is filed under the name uncultured bacterium. Its description in RNAcentral is "partial 16S ribosomal RNA". It matches the Rfam family "Bacterial small subunit ribosomal RNA", at positions 29 to 507 of the family's 1533-position model. The record is from RNAcentral.